GAGGCUGUGGCUCAGCGGUAGAGCACUCGCCUAGCACAUGUGAGGUUCUGGGCUUGAUCCUCAGCACCACA
Molecule: transfer RNA, 71 nt
Filed under: Marmota monax (woodchuck)
Lineage: Eukaryota; Metazoa; Chordata; Mammalia; Rodentia; Sciuridae
Description: tRNA.Ala
Source: RNAcentral